RNAcentral lists this ribosomal RNA (496 nucleotides) under uncultured bacterium. RNAcentral's name for it is "bacterial SSU rRNA". It matches the Rfam family "Bacterial small subunit ribosomal RNA", at positions 28 to 507 of the family's 1533-position model. The record is from RNAcentral.
GAUGAACGCUAGCGACAGGCUUAACACAUGCAAGUCGAGGGGCAGCGGGGGCGAAAGCUUGCUUUCGCCCGCCGGCGACCGGCGCACGGGUGAGUAACACGUAUGCAACCUGCCCGCAGCAGGGGGAUAAGCCGGAGAAAUCCGGUCUAAUACCGCGUGAAACCCUGAGGGGACAUCCCCAUGGGGGUCAAAAGGAGCAAUCCGGCUGCGGAUGGGCAUGCGUCGCAUUAGGCAGUUGGCGGGGUAACGGCCCACCAAACCGACGAUGCGUAGGGGUUCUGAGAGGAAGGUCCCCCACACUGGUACUGAGACACGGACCAGACUCCUACGGGAGGCAGCAGUGAGGAAUAUUGGUCAAUGGGCGGAAGCCUGAACCAGCCAAGUCGCGUGAGGGAAGACGGUCCUAUGGAUUGUAAACCUCUUUUGCCGGGGAGCAAGCCGGGUCUGCGGACCCGCGUCGAGAGUACCCGGAGAAAAAGCAUCGGCUAACUCCGUG